RNAcentral lists this ribosomal RNA (443 nucleotides) under uncultured bacterium. Its description in RNAcentral is "partial 16S ribosomal RNA". It matches the Rfam family "Bacterial small subunit ribosomal RNA", at positions 28 to 507 of the family's 1533-position model. The record is from RNAcentral.
GAUGAACGCUGGCGGCAUGCCUAACACAUGCAAGUCGAUCGGUAAGGCUCUUCGGAGUACACGAGAGGCGGACGGCUGAGUAACGCGUAGGAACACACCCUGCAGUGAGGGAUAGGACACCGAAAGGUGUUCUAAUACCGCAUACGGUCUUCGGAUUAAAGCAUUUAUGCGCUGAAGGAGUGGCCUGCGUCAUAUUAGAUAGUUGGUGAGGUAAUGGCUCACCAAGUCGAUGAUGUGUAGCUGGUCUGAGAGGAUGAUCAGCCAGACUGGAACUGAGACACGGUCCAGACUCCUACGGGAGGCAGCAGUGAGGAAUAUUUCACAAUGAGCGAAAGCUUGAUGGAGCAAUGCCGCGUGCAGGAUGAAGGCCCUCGGGUUGUAAACUGCUUUUAUAAGAGAAGAUUAUGACGGUAACUUAUGAAUAAGGGACGGCUAACUACGUG